Molecule: ribosomal RNA, 305 nt
Filed under: uncultured bacterium
Lineage: Bacteria
Description: bacterial SSU rRNA
Rfam family: Bacterial small subunit ribosomal RNA
Source: RNAcentral
GGCCUACGGGACGCAGCAGUGGGGAAUAUUGGGCAAUGGAGGAAACUCUGACCCAGCAACGCCGCGUGAAUGAUGAAGGUCUUCGGAUUGUAAAGUUCUUUUCUAAGGGAAGAAGAAAGUGACGGUACCUUAGGAAUAAGCCUCGGCUAACUACGUGCCAGCAGCCGCGGUAAUACGUAGGGGCAAGCGUUAUCCGGAUUUACCGGGUGUAAAGGGAGCGUAGGUGGCGUGCCAAGUCAGGAGUGAAAACCCAGGGCCCAACCCUGGGACUGCUCUUGAAACUGGCAGGCUUGAGUGCUGGAGAG